Salmo salar (Atlantic salmon) is the source of this 920-nucleotide non-coding RNA. The record is from RefSeq and is a predicted model, not a curated record. NCBI's taxonomy places the organism in Eukaryota, Metazoa, Chordata, Actinopteri, Salmoniformes, Salmonidae.
UAGAAAAGAGAGAGGAAAAAAAAGACAUGUACAGUAACCAUCAGUGUUACUUCCACAUAACUUUGGUGGGUCAUAGGAAGUGGAAAUGACACGGGGGGAAGGGCGUGAGGGCGCUGCCAGCCCCUCCCACUGGCAUUGUUUUAUCAGGACAUCUGCUACUUCCUGAAUCAUUGGUGAUGAUGCCAUCCGUUACUUCCUGUAUUGUUGAUGAGGCCAUCGUAAUACCCAAAAUAAGUGAUGAGAACAGGACACAGAGGAGCAGAUAGCCAUUAAGCAUUGUCAUCAGGAGCUGAGUGAGAGGAACAGAGAGCGCUGGUGUCUGGAGAUACAGAUCACGAUGAGACUGGACCAUGUAAGUGUGGUAGCAGCGAGGAAGGUUCCUGAAAGACUGCAGUCCUCCUUAGGCAUCAACGAUCUGCAUCUACUGGCCAUGGAGUACUGCCAAGGAGGAGACCUGAGGAAGGUGUGUUAUUCUUACACACACACCCCGUGGCUACGGCUGAGGACAUGAACGCGUACAAGAAGUCCCACUACGACCUCCGCAGAGUGAUCAAACAGGAAAAAGUACACUAUAGGAACAGGGUGGAAUCCUAUUACACCGGCUCUGACACUUGACGCAUGUCAGAUUACAAAGGAAGACCUAGCUGUGACAUGCCCAACGAUAACUCUUCACCAGAUUAACUACACCUGCAUUGCUUGCUGUUUGGGGUUUUAUGCUGGGUUUCUGUACAGCACUUUGAGAUAUCAGCUGAUAUAAGAAGGGCUAUAUAAAUAAAAUGUAUUUGAUUUGAUGAACUCAAUGCAUUUUAUGCACGCUUCCACAAAAGUAAUGCCAAGCCGCACAUGAGGGCCCUAGACCCAGUCCAAUUUGCAUCCUGCCCCAAAAGAUCUACAGACGAUGCAAUCUCAAUUGCAUUCCA